CGAGCGCGCGGCCGGCCUUGGGUGGGCCGGGGCUUCCUGGAGCUCGCCGGUCGGCACGGUAGAAAAGUACCCAGGGACACAUAGGUAGCAUGAAUUUGUGCCUUCAAACUGUAGGAGGACCUGCUUGUAAGAAACUCAGGGAAAUUUCCUAUCCACCUGACUCCAGCCGGAGCUGAGGCCAAAAGAGGUAUACUUUGUUCUAAAUAUGCAACCGUCUUGAUACGGUAUUCGCUUCGUGCUUUGAUUGUGUAUGGCCGUGGCAGCCAAAAGGACUGUUCAUUCUCAUCAUGUUGUCAAAAGAUUUGCGUUUUUCAUAUUUUGCAACCAUUCCAUUAAAGGAGAAAGAAGAGCUGGCGGAACCUGCUCUUCCCUCCAGCCCCAGCGGGGUGAACUCAGCAUUGGUGGCGUGAAGAUCGGGGCUGAUCCUGGUUUGUCCCCGAGGGGGUCUACUUCAGGCACACAGCAACUCCAGUGCCUGGUCAUAUUACGAUGUUAUACUUUACAGACCAGCAAUCCAAGCAAAAGAUGGUUUUCUGUGUCCUGCAAAUAAAUGCUCAAUUCACAACUGCAAUGAGAGAUCGGUCUGCAGCAUCUCACUCCCUCCAUCUUCAUGUUCCUCUUCGUUGUUUUCUUCAAUCUUUUCUUAUAAGACUGUUUCUCAUUCUUAUCAUACACUAUAUGGCAAGUUCUUUGUAUACAUUAAAAGGUUUAAUUCUCAUAAAAC
This 724-nucleotide long non-coding RNA is filed under the name Ursus maritimus (polar bear). RNAcentral describes it as "lncRNA (ENSUMAG00000015758.1)". The record is from RNAcentral. Lineage: Eukaryota; Metazoa; Chordata; Mammalia; Carnivora; Ursidae.